RNAcentral lists this long non-coding RNA (312 nucleotides) under Bos taurus (domestic cattle). Its description in RNAcentral is "long non-coding RNA NONBTAT015127". The record is from RNAcentral. Lineage: Eukaryota; Metazoa; Chordata; Mammalia; Artiodactyla; Bovidae.
GAUAUGAAACUGAGUAUUUAUUUAAGAAGUUAUACAGCACUGGCUUUUUCAGUAAUACAGUGGAAGGAGAUUUAAUUUUCCAAACUGCGUGCAUACCUGAGUUUUUUGAACUCUCUUAAAUGAGUCAAAGUAAUGCAUUCCAACAAUUACAAUUCUUGGGUUAAAACUUAGGAUCCUUUAUGACAGGAGAAAUACCCUGGUGAUGCUAUGGGGACUCUUGGCGGGGGAGGAGCAGGAAGUUAACAGCAGCCAAGCUGGCUCCCAGAUGCUGAGCAGGGAACUGAAGGGGGAGGAGUUGACCUUUGUGACCCU